CGAUAGCUCAGUGGUAGAGCGGUCGGCUGUUAACCGAUUGGUCGUAGGUUCAAAUCCUACUCGGGGAGAAAU
RNAcentral lists this transfer RNA (72 nucleotides) under Gronococcus sybilensis. Its description in RNAcentral is "tRNA-Asn". It matches the Rfam family "tRNA". Rfam says of the family: Transfer RNA (tRNA) molecules are approximately 80 nucleotides in length. Their secondary structure includes four short double-helical elements and three loops (D, anti-codon, and T loops). Lineage: Eukaryota; Rhodophyta; Bangiophyceae; Cavernulicolales; Cavernulicolaceae. The record is from RNAcentral.